This 250-nucleotide ribosomal RNA is filed under the name uncultured Chroococcidiopsis sp. RNAcentral describes it as "partial 16S ribosomal RNA". It matches the Rfam family "Bacterial small subunit ribosomal RNA", at positions 796 to 1044 of the family's 1533-position model. Lineage: Bacteria; Bacillati; Cyanobacteriota; Cyanophyceae; Chroococcidiopsidales; Chroococcidiopsidaceae. The record is from RNAcentral.
CUAGCCGUAAACGAUGGAUACUAGGCGUUGUGAGUAUCGACCCUCACAGUGUCGUAGCUAACGCGUUAAGUAUCCCGCCUGGGGAGUGCGCGCGCAAGCGUGAAACUCAAAGGAAUUGACGGGGGCCCGCACAAGCGGUGGAGUAUGUGGUUUAAUUCGAUGCAACGCGAAGAACCUUACCAGGACUUGACAUGUCGCGAAUCUCAGGGAAACUUGAGAGUGCCUUCGGGAGCGCGAACACAGGUGGUGC